CACCCGCAGCACGAGUAGUGGUCACUUUUAUUGAGCCUAAAGCGUUCGUAGCCGGUUUUGUAAAUCUUCAGAUAAAGCCUGAAGCUUAACUCCAGAAAGUCUGAAGAGACUGCAAGACUUGAGAUCGGGUGAGGUUAAACGUACUUUCAGGGUAGGGGUAAAAUCCUUUAAUCUGAAAAAGACCACCAGUGGCGAAGGCGCAUUCCCAGAACGGACCUGACGGUGAGGGACGAAGGCUAGGAGAACGAACCGGAUUAGAUACCCGGGUAGCCCUAGCAGUAAACGCUGCUUACUAUACGUUGCGUUUCCCUGAGGAAACGCAGUGUGACAGCGAAGGCGUUAAGUAAGCCACUUGGGGAGUAUAAUCGCAAGGUCGAAACUUAAAGGAAUUGGCGGGGGAGCACAAAAACGGGUGAAAUUUGCGGUUCAAUUGGAUUCAACUCCGGGAAUCUUACCAGAGGCGACAGCAAGAUGAAGGCCAGUCUGAAGAACUUGCCUAAUGCGCUGAGAGGUGUUGCAUGGCCAUCAUCAGUUAGUAUCUUGAGACGUCCCGUUAAGUCGGGUAACUAACAAGACCCUCUUCCAUAUUUACUAACGUGUAAUCCGUUACGAACGAGCAAAAUAUGGAGACUGCUUUCGAAAGAAAGAGGAAGGUGAGGGCGACGGUAGGUCAGUAUGACCCUAAUCCGCUGGGCUACACGCGAAUUGCAAUGGUAAAGGCAAUGGGAAGCAACUCCGAAAGGAGAAGCCAAUCCUCCAAUCUUUACCCUAGUUCGGAUCGAGGUCUGUAACUCGGCCUCGUGAACGUCGGAAUCCGUAGUAACCGCAUUUCAACAAAGUGCGGUGAAUACUUUCCUGCUCCU
Molecule: ribosomal RNA, 863 nt
Filed under: uncultured archaeon
Lineage: Archaea
Description: bacterial SSU rRNA
Rfam family: Archaeal small subunit ribosomal RNA
Source: RNAcentral